GAGGGAGCAUGUCAAGGGAAAGGCAAAAGUGAAAAAAAAGGUGGAAAGGCAAAGGAUCGUGGGUGGCAGGUGGGAUGUGGGGUUACUGGAGUCGGAGCUAGAGAAGACAGUGUGAAAAGGGGGUGCCUGAGCCUGAGACAGUGCCGGUGGGAGGCUGGGCUACAGUUACUAGCAGUCGGAGGGCUAAGGGCCAUGGUUCCAGGACUGGGCAUCACCUGGGCCUGGUCAGACAUGCGGGUCUCUGGCCCCACCCGAGACCUGCUGGUCAGAAUCUCUGGGGGUGGAGCCAGCAAUCUGUGUUCUCAUCAGCCCGACCCCCAGCUUUCUGAUGAGCACGCAGGUCUGAGAACCACAGCUCUAGGGUAAAAUGGCCUGUGGAGGAGGACAGUGUCCCAGGACCAGAAGAGCUGGAGAAACUGAGAAGUCAGCAAGGCCAGAGCACCGUUUGAGGGGGAUGAAAUUGCUGGAAAUGAAGACGGGGUACGGCAGAAUAAAGUGCCCAGACUCAAGACCUACAGUUGCGGAGAAAUGAGGACAGUGCCUGGGUGGAGAAGAGUCUAGAAGUGGCAAAAAAAAAAAGUAAAGAAGCCCCCUAACCUGGAGCCCAGUGAUACAAGGGUGGAGGGAGACAGGCAGCCCCUCUGAGGGGCAUCGAGGGCCAGACCACGGCUGCCCACAGAGGUCCACUGACGCCAUGGCGCUUGUGCACGUUACCCUACACGGCAGUGGGGGGACUUGCAGGUGUGAUCGCUAAUCUCUGGGUGGAAUGACUAACGUGGGUUGUCCAGGUGGGCCCAAUGUAGCCACAAGCGUCCUUUAAAAGGGUGGCCGGAGACGCAGCCCCAGGGAGAGCGCGGCUCUAAGAGGGCGGCUGGCCCACAGGCCUGGAAGCCGGCCCUCCCCACAAGACCGCAGGAGGGACACGGCCCCGCGGGCACCUCGAGUUGAGCUCAGUGACACCAUUUUGGACCUCUGACCUCCAGAGCCGUAAGCGGGCGGUCUUGAUCAGAAUGUAUCUGGGGUCAGCAGGCACUUAAGGCUUGGAUGGGACACCGUCAAAGUCAACGGAGAUGCUCUUUGGGAUUCAGAGCAAGACCCGGGAUGCAGAGAGAGAGGAGGCGAGCUCGGGAAUGAAGGACAUCCAGAAAACACCCACUCGGUGACCAAAACACAGCUUGACCCACAAAACCUCCAGCUCUCAAGAGAGGCCUUUAAAAGGAGAGUGGGCGGAGCCACCACCAGGACCAGGCCUCAGUGCAAACAAAACCUCCACC
Molecule: long non-coding RNA, 1274 nt
Organism: Bubalus bubalis (water buffalo)
Lineage: Eukaryota; Metazoa; Chordata; Mammalia; Artiodactyla; Bovidae
Exons: 3
Source: RefSeq, a predicted model, not a curated record